RNAcentral lists this ribosomal RNA (497 nucleotides) under uncultured bacterium. Its description in RNAcentral is "partial 16S ribosomal RNA". It matches the Rfam family "Bacterial small subunit ribosomal RNA", at positions 28 to 507 of the family's 1533-position model. The record is from RNAcentral.
GAUGAACGCUGGCGGCGUGCCUAAUACAUGCAAGUCGAGCGAACGGACGAGAAGCUUGCUUUUCUGAUGUUAGCGGCGGACGGGUGAGUAACACGUGGAUAACCUACCUAUAAGACUGGGAUAACUUCGGGAAACCGGAGCUAAUACCGGAUAAUAUCUUGAACCGCAUGGUUCAAAAGUGAAAGACGGUCUUGCUGUCACUUAUAGAUGGAUCCGCGCUGCAUUAGCUAGUUGGUAAGGUAACGGCUUACCAAGGCAACGAUGCAUAGCCGACCUGAGAGGGUGAUCGGCCACACUGGAACUGAGCCACGGUCCAGACUCCUACGGGAGGCAGCAGUAGGGAAUCUUCCGCAAUGGGCGAAAGCCUGACGGAGCAACGCCGCGUGAGUGAUGAAGGUCUUCGGAUCGUAAAGCUCUGUUAUUAGGGAAGAACAUAUGUGUAAGUAACUGUGCACAUCUUGACGGUACCUAAUCAGAAAGCCACGGCUAACUACGUG